CGUGUCCUGUAGUGGGGGAUAGCCCGGCGAAAGCCGGAUUAAUACCGCAUACGCUCUACGGAGGAAAGGGGGGGAUCUUAGGACCUCCCGCUACAGGGGCGGCCGAUGGCAGAUUAGCUAGUUGGUGGGGUAAAGGCCUACCAAGGCGACGAUCUGUAGCUGGUCUGAGAGGACGACCAGCCACACUGGGACUGAGACACGGCCCAGACUCCUACGGGAGGCAGCAGUGGGGAAUUUUGGACAAUGGGGGCAACCCUGAUCCAGCAAUGCCGCGUGUGUGAAGAAGGCCUUCGGGUUGUAAAGCACUUUUGUCCGGAAAGAAAACGCCGUGGUUAAUACCCGUGGCGGAUGACGGUACCGGAAGAAUAAGCACCGGCUAACUACGUGCCAGCAGCCGCGGUAAUACGUAGGGUGCAAGCGUUAAUCGGAAUUACUGGGCGUAAAGCGUGCGCAGGCGG
Molecule: ribosomal RNA, 458 nt
Filed under: Burkholderia sp. Z4_80_14
Lineage: Bacteria; Pseudomonadati; Pseudomonadota; Betaproteobacteria; Burkholderiales; Burkholderiaceae
Description: bacterial SSU rRNA
Rfam family: Bacterial small subunit ribosomal RNA
Source: RNAcentral